CGGUUGCCUCCUGAAUUUUUUAGCACUUUACCAAGUUCAGCAGCACAUGAACCUGGACCAAACAUGUUGACAAGAGUGUACGGGCUUCCACCAACUCCUGUAGACAUUGCUGAAGCUGUAAAAGGAGUUAAACGAGGAGACGUGUCAGAGCAUCUCAGGCGCAGAAUUGUGGAUUGGAUGUGCCAUGACAUGGCCUCAUGCACGCUGUAUGGGGGCAAAAUGUGCUAGCCUGCAGCACAACAGCUUGUAAGACGUUAUCCCCAACUCAGAGACACUGCACUUCACGGUUGUAGUGUUCCUGGUGCAUGUCACUAUGCAAUAAAGGGAAAAAAUGCGGAGAGUGAUGAGUGGAUUCUCUGAAAUAGAUGCUGCAAGAGCAAAAGUGAUCAAGAAACCAAACGAAGGGACAGCGACCUCCACAAAUGCGCAACGCCCGGGGCCUUGAAAACUAUAAGGAGAGAUCAUGUUCAGAUUCACAACGAGUUUCAAAGACUCACAAAUGUGGAUGCUGACGCAGCACUACUACGGUUCAUCACGGCGUCUGGACACAAAAUUAUUCACAUGCAAUACAACAAGAAGUCUGCCAGAACGGAAAUAAAGCGCAUGAAAGAACA
Ornithodoros turicata is the source of this 614-nucleotide long non-coding RNA. RefSeq lists it as uncharacterized. The record is from RefSeq and is a predicted model, not a curated record. NCBI's taxonomy places the organism in Eukaryota, Metazoa, Arthropoda, Arachnida, Ixodida, Argasidae. The transcript is spliced from 4 exons.